CCUACGGGAGACAGCAGUGGGGAAUAUUGCACAAUGGGGGAAACCCUGAUGCAGCGACGCCGCGUGAGUGAAGAAGUAUCUCGGUACGUAAAGCUCUAUCAGCAGGGCAGAACAUGACGGUACCUGACUAAGAAGCCCCGGCUAACUACGUGCCAGCAGCCGCGGUAAUACGUAGGGGGCAAGCGUUAUCCGGAUUUACUGGGUGUAAAGGGAGCGUAGACGGCAGGACAAGUCUGGAGUGAAAUCCCGGGGCUUAACCCCGGUACUGCUUUGGAUACUUGGCAGCUGGAGUGCAGGAGGGGUAAGCGGAAUUCCUAGUGUAGCGGUGAAAUGCGUAGAUAUUAGGAGGAACACCGGUGGCGAAGGCUGCUUACUGGACUGUAACUGACGUUGAGGCACGAAAGCGUGGGGAGCAAACAGGAUUAGAUACCCUAGUAGUC
RNAcentral lists this ribosomal RNA (440 nucleotides) under uncultured bacterium. RNAcentral describes it as "partial 16S ribosomal RNA". It matches the Rfam family "Bacterial small subunit ribosomal RNA", at positions 338 to 795 of the family's 1533-position model. The record is from RNAcentral.